Amphiprion ocellaris (clown anemonefish) is the source of this 849-nucleotide long non-coding RNA. NCBI's taxonomy places the organism in Eukaryota, Metazoa, Chordata, Actinopteri, Pomacentridae. The record is from Ensembl.
GCGGAUGUGUUGAGACUGCACGAGAAUGACUUUAUUUUGGUCUGUAAUGAGCUUGCUCUCUUUUCUAAAACUUAUCUCUGGGCGGUGAACAGAAGACCGCGCGCUCCCGUUAAGCCCUUCGUGCCCCGGUGGACAACUCUGAGGACGUUUGGCAGCACAAUAUGAAGAUUGCUGUUGUUUGUGCUUCCUACGCUGAAGAUCCUGUAGAUGUCUCUCUUAUUCUUGACGGCAAGGAGGUUGUGACUGGAUGUGGAAAUACUGCAAAGCCAUGUACACUGCUAAUGGGUCUGAUAUAUUCCCUCAAUCUUGCUUAUCCUCCAACACCGUGUUACACUUUUGAAGUGUUCCAGAAGCUUUUCUUAGAUUUAGACGCAAUAAAGCUAUCCCCCAAAGUACAAACUCUGAAAAUGAAGUUGCUGUCCAAAACUUAAAAGAUGACAUUUUAUUCAGCUUUAUUCAGCUUGGUAUGCCAUUGCCAUUAUAGCAGUUUAUGCUAUAAAGUUGUAUUGUUAUUGUGUAGCUCUUGCACAUGCUUCAAAGUCAUUAAUUGUUCAUUAAUGUUAAUACAGUUGCAAAACCUCUGCAGCCAUUUCUCAGAGCUGUGCCUUCAGAAAGGACUUUAAGUUUAUAAUAGUAUGACAACAAGAAUUGCUGAUUUGUUGUUAAUUUUUUUUUUCCAAGUGUAAAACCUGGACAAAAAAGGCUGUCAAUAAUACAAAGUUGUUAAAUAUUGUCAUUUGUAUGUUAUUGAUUUUUCAUAUUUUCUGUAUACACUUUAACAAAACUAGUAGUUAUUACUCAAAUGUAGUGCUUAAAAAUUAUUUUGUAAUAAGAAUAAAUAUAGUGAUA